RNAcentral lists this transfer RNA (62 nucleotides) under Operophtera brumata (winter moth). It matches the Rfam family "tRNA". From Rfam's summary of the family: Transfer RNA (tRNA) molecules are approximately 80 nucleotides in length. Their secondary structure includes four short double-helical elements and three loops (D, anti-codon, and T loops). Lineage: Eukaryota; Metazoa; Arthropoda; Insecta; Lepidoptera; Geometridae. The record is from Rfam by way of RNAcentral.
UGUUCUAUGGCCGAACUGGUAAAGGCAUUGCAAGGUUGCGGGUUCGAGUCCCGCUGGAACGG